Artibeus jamaicensis (Jamaican fruit-eating bat) is the source of this 107-nucleotide small nuclear RNA. Lineage: Eukaryota; Metazoa; Chordata; Mammalia; Chiroptera; Phyllostomidae. The record is from RefSeq and is a predicted model, not a curated record.
GUGCUCGCUUGGGCAACACGUACACUAAAAUUGGAACAAUAGGGAGAACACUAGCAUGGCCCCCGGGCAAGGAUGGCGUGCAAAUUUGUGAAACAUUCGCAUUGUGG